RNAcentral lists this ribosomal RNA (444 nucleotides) under Xerocrassa chiae. RNAcentral describes it as "partial 16S ribosomal RNA". It matches the Rfam family "Archaeal large subunit ribosomal RNA", at positions 1900 to 2675 of the family's 2987-position model. Lineage: Eukaryota; Metazoa; Mollusca; Gastropoda; Stylommatophora; Geomitridae. The record is from RNAcentral.
CAAAAACGUAGCUAACUGUAUUUAAUUGUUAGUUAUUUCUGCUCUCUGGGAUACUAAAUAGCCGCAGUACCCUGACUGUGCAAAGGUAGCAUAAUCAUUUGUCUUAUAAUUGAAGUCUAGAAUGAAAGAAUCAACGGGUAGUUGCUGUCUCCGUAGGGUGAAUAGAAUUUAUUUAAUAAGUGCAAAUACUUAUAGAGAAAUAAUAGACGAGAAGACCCUAGAAAUUUUUUAUAACCUAGUAAUACUAGUUAUUAUUUUGUUGGGGCGACAGAAUAACAAUUAACUUAUUUUUACAAUGUGAACUGUGUUUAGAGAAAAGGCAAAUUACUCUAGGGAUAGCAGCAUAAUGUAAUAAAGUUUGUGACCUCGAUGUUGGACUAGGGAUCUUAAUAUUCAGAAGACGUUAAGGAAGGCUCUGUUCGAGCUAUGUACCCUACAUGAUCU